UUAUAAUUUAAUAAAGUUUUAAUAAUUUUAAGCAAAAAUCAAAUUUUUCAUUCCUUCUCCAGUUAUUUUUGGUGGGUUUUUCACCAUUGGUAAUUUUUUUAGUUAAAAAACUUAAUCUUACUGAUAGCUGAUAUUUCUUCUCCCAUUGAAAAAGAUAGCUUAUAUUAUAUUUUCCAAAAUUGAUCUACAAAAAUUAGAAUUAAGUUUGUAAUACUGCUAAAUGUAUACUUAUAAUUUAUGACAUUCUGAAAUAUAGAAAUUAUAUAAAGUAUUAAUUUUUCCCAAAUAAUAAGAAAACUAUUUUAAUCUUUAUUAUUUAAGGGCCAAUUAAAAGAGAAAAAAGGAAGGUGGAAAUUAUUUCGUCGCUGGAGAACUAGAUAUUUUACUUUAUCAGGUGCACAUCUUUCCUAUAGAGGUUCGAAAGGUGAUAAGGAAGUGUCUCCUAUCGAAGUUAGUCAAAUUCGUAGCGUGAGGGCAAUAAGUAGCCGUCGCAACAUACCAAAAGCUUUUGAAAUAUUUACAGAUGACAGGACUUUUGUUCUUAAAGCAAAAGAUAGCAAAAAUACAGAACAGUGGGUUCAAUGUAUAUCCAUUGCUAUGGCUCAUUCUCAUGCUAAAGAUACUACCCAUUAAAUGUAUACGUGUAAAUGUAAAGAUUAAUAUUUUUAAUCUGAAUGGCUCAAAAAAAAAAAAAAAUGCAAUUGUAUAGUUUCUUUUUACAAGAAUUGUAAAAUUUUAUAAAUUGAUUC
Long non-coding RNA from Centruroides sculpturatus (bark scorpion), 749 nucleotides. RefSeq lists it as uncharacterized. The record is from RefSeq and is a predicted model, not a curated record. Lineage: Eukaryota; Metazoa; Arthropoda; Arachnida; Scorpiones; Buthidae. The transcript has 2 exons.